UCAAAAAUAUAAUAAAUAUUGUAACUUAUACUUUUAUACCAAAACAACAAAUAAGAAAGAUAAUAAAAUAUCAUUAAGAAGUAAUUGCAAGAGUACGAUCAAUCUAAUAGUCUAUUGUCUCCUUCAUUAUUCUAAUAUCUACGAUACACCAACCCUCAUUCCUACAACAUUAGAUAAUGAAAUAUAAAUUAAAUAUGAUUUAUAUUCAGUCCUUUAUUAUUUUUAUUAUGACCAUAUUUGACUAAAUAUAUGAAUAACUAUAUUCCUUAAAAAUUAUUUGGCCAAUAUAAUAAAGUAAAUUGUCAGGUUAUAUUACUUGGCUUGCAAUUUGAAUAUUGCAUGUACAUGCUUUGGGGCUGGUUGACCGUUAAAUUUACAAAACUAACCUUUAAGUUUUAAGAGUUUAAAUGCAUGGUAAAUACUACUAAUAUGUUAUGAAUAAAAUUUAUUAUCAUUAUAAUUCCACAAUUGUUAAGAAACUUUGAAAAUAAAAUAAAAUUAAAAGAUGAGUGGAUAUGGAUAUGGAUUUAGAUAUUAAGAUAGAUCCAGAUCUGCUCCAGAUCCGUCUUAGAUCCGCACAUCGAUAUCCAAAUCCGAUCCAAAUCCAUUUUAAACCGAUCCAAAUCCGAUCCGAUUGGAUUUGGAUCACGUGGAUCUUGGAUCAGAUCCAAUCCAUUGCCAUCCCUAGUAACAGUGGCUCUCGCUUAAAAAAAUGAGCAAGCAAGCAUAGUCGAAGUCUACUAGUCUAGUACUGGUGUAACUGAAUGUGCCAUUACUUUAUUCUGUUGUCAUUACUCUUUCUAUCAUCAAGGGUGCAUGACCAACAAAUAUCAGCUGGUUAUAGUAUAAUUCCUUGAAAAUCAAGCUACCCUCUCUCCCUCUCUAAGUACUAAGCGGCCCCCGAUCUUUCCUAUUUUUCGGCGUUCAAACCGCCGCGCGGCUACUCCCCCAUCCCGAUGCCCCCGGACCGCUGGUCCCGUGGGAUGAAACGGAAACGGAAUCGGAGGCCCCGAUCAUGAGUUACGGCCCCUUCUUUACGGCCUCCGAGGCCGUGCGCUAUAGCCCCCCGGGCGCCCCUGCCGCCGACCGCACCUGCCCGAACGUGACCGCCGUGUGACGAUCGCGCCUCGUGGUCCCCCCCGGGGCAUGAACCGCCCCCCGGCAGGCCGAAACCGGCAAAACCGGCCAAACGGCCCCUGAUCUUACUCAUUUUUCGGCGUUCAAACGGCCGCGAGGCUACCCCCCCAUCCCGAUGUCCCCGGACCGCUGGUCCCAUAGGACGAAACGGAAACGGAAUCGGAGGCCCGGAUCAUCAGUUACGGCUGAAACCGCCAAAACCUACUAAGCGGCCCCCAAUCUUGCCAAUUUUUCGGCGUUCAAACCACCGCGCGGCUACCCCCCCAUCCCGAUGCCCCCGGACCGCUGGUCCCGUGGGACGAAACGGAAAUAGAAUCCGAGGAUCGGAUCAUAAGUUACUGCCGAAACUGCCGAAACCUACUAGGGGUGUUCAGAAUCCAAUCCGAUCCGCUCAAUCCGAUCCGUAUAAAUCCGAUCCGUGGAUUGGUGGAUUGGAUAUGCAUUGAAAAUUUAAAAAUCCGCAGUCGAUGGAUUGGAUAUGGAUUUACUUCUGUAAAUCCGCAGAAGCCGUGCGCUAUAGCCCCCCAGGCGCCCCCGACGCCGAACGCAUCCGCCCGAACCCGACCGAACGCGUCUGCCGUGUGCCGAUCCCGCCCCGUGGCCCCCCCGGGAAUGAACCGCCCCCCGGGGGGCCGAAACUGGCAAAACCGGCCAAACGGCCCUGAUCUUACCCAUUUUUCGGCGUUCAAACCAUCGCGCAGCUACCCCCACAUCCCGAUGCCCCCGGACCGCUGGUCCCGUGGGACGAAACGGAAACGGAAUUGGAGGCCCCGAUCAUGAGUUACGGCCCCUUCUUUGCGGCCCCCAAGGCCGUGCAAUAUAGCCCCCCGGGCGCCCCCGCCGCCGACCGCACCUGCCCGAACCCGACCGAACGCGUCCGCCGUGUGCUGAUCCCGCCCGCGGUCACCCCCCGGGGGGCCGAAACCGGCAAAACCGGCCAAACGGCGCCGACCUUACCCAUUUUUCGGCGUUCAAACCGCCGCACGGCUACCCCCCCAAUCCCGAUACCCCUGCCCGGCUGGUCCCGUCGGACGAAACAGAACCGCAAUCGGAGGCCCCGAUCAUGAGUUACGGCCGAAACCAGCAAAACUGGCAAAAACAACCCAUUAUACUUUGCGGCCCCCGAGGCCGUGUGCUAUAGCCCCCGCCCCGCCCCGGACCUCUCCCGCCCGAACCCGACCGAAAUCGUCCCCCAUGUGCCGAUCCCGCCCCGGGGUAUGAACCGCCCUCCGGGGGGCCCAAUCCGAAAAACCGGCAAAAACGGCCCCGAUCUUACCCAUUUUUCGGCCUUCAAACCGCCAGGUGGCUACCCCCCCAUCCCGAUACCCCCCCCGGCUGGUCCCGUCAGACGAAACAGAACCGCAAUCGGAGGCCCCGAUCGUGAGUUACGGCCGAAACCGGUAAAACCUGGAAAAAACGGCCCAUUUUACUUUGCGGCCCCCGAGGACGUGUACAAUAGCCCCUGCCCCGCCCCGCCCCGUCCCGGACCGCACC
RNAcentral lists this long non-coding RNA (2631 nucleotides) under Citrus x clementina. Its description in RNAcentral is "Citrus clementina (C. clementina) long non-coding RNA (CCLE_LNC002156)". Lineage: Eukaryota; Viridiplantae; Streptophyta; Magnoliopsida; Sapindales; Rutaceae. The record is from RNAcentral.